This 596-nucleotide ribosomal RNA is filed under the name uncultured Methanosaeta sp. RNAcentral's name for it is "bacterial SSU rRNA". It matches the Rfam family "Archaeal small subunit ribosomal RNA", at positions 1 to 603 of the family's 1478-position model. Lineage: Archaea; Methanobacteriati; Methanobacteriota; Methanomicrobia; Methanotrichales; Methanotrichaceae. The record is from RNAcentral.
UUUCCGGUUGAUCCCGCCGGAGGUUACUGCUAUCGAGGUUCGACUAAGCCAUGCGAGUCGAAUGUAGCAAUACAUGGCGAACUGCUCAGUAACACGUGGACAACCUGCCCUUAGGUUGGGUAUAAACCCGGGAAACUGGGUAUAAUACCCGAUAGGUCUCGAUUGCUGGAAUGCAUCGAGAUUUAAAGCUCCGGCGCCUAAGGAUGGGUCUGCGGCCUAUCAGGUAGUAGUGGGUGUAGCGUACCUACUAGCCUACGACGGGUACGGGUUGUGAGAGCAAGAGCCCGGAGAUGGAUUCUGAGACACGAAUCCAGGCCCUACGGGGUGCAGCAGGCGCGAAAACUUUACAAUGCUGGCAACAGCGAUAAGGGAACCUCGAGUGCCAGGUUACAAAUCUGGCUGUCGAGAUGCCUAAAAAGCAUUUCAUAGCAAGGGCCGGGCAAGACCGGUGCCAGCCGCCGCGGUAACACCGGCGGCUCGAGUGGUAACCGUUAUUAUUGGGUCUAAAGGGUCUGUAGCCGGCCGGAUAAGUCUCUUGAGAAAUCUGGCAGCUUAACUGUCAGCUUUCACGAGAUACUGUCUGGCUCGAGGCCGGG